UGAAGGAGGUUUUUCCAAACUCAUCCCUAACUGAACAUGAGGAUGAAUUGGCAUUAGGCGAACACAGUCAGUUAUUCAGUCUACCACCUGACAGUGUGUUAAAGUUAAAUUCUGUUAGUGCUGCACUAAAAGAAUUGUUAGUAAUAAGUCCAUGCAGCGAAGGAAUUGAACAAUUGUGGGACCGUAUUUGGGCUGAAAAUGGGUGUGGUACGGAAACCCAGAAAUAGCAUGAGUUCAACAUAAAACAUGAAUUAGAAUUCUAGUGGGGGAUCAAGUCAAGUCUAGAAGUGUUACAGGAUGGAAGAGUGAGCCUACAGUUGAAAAACACUGAAAGUGCAUUACCAUUAAGGUAUGAGGUAAAGUAAUAGAGUAUGCAAAUUGUCUAAUGAGAAGUACCAUCUUGUGUGAAUGAAUCCUGUGUAACAGCAAUCCUUUAUAGUUCUGUUGUAGCUAGAAGCCUCAAAUAAUUCUGCUUCUCUUGCUAAAGAACAACUUGUCCUUUACACUCAGAGUGUUGGUGAAGCUGGGUACUUAAAUGGCCCUAAAGAUGUUUCACUUCACUGGCAUUGCAGCGAUGAACAUCAUACAUGGACUCUUUAGGAAAGGAUUUUCAGCAUACUGGGAACACAACUAUCAACAAUGCAACAUUCUAGGGGUGUUAUUUUAUCCUUCAAGAGCC
Molecule: long non-coding RNA, 679 nt
Organism: Daphnia carinata
Lineage: Eukaryota; Metazoa; Arthropoda; Branchiopoda; Diplostraca; Daphniidae
Exons: 4
Source: RefSeq, a predicted model, not a curated record